AAAGUCGUAACAAGGUCUCCGUUGGUGAACCAGCGGAGGGAUCAUUACUGAGUACUACACUCUCUACCCUUUGUGAACUAUUAUACCUGUUUGCUUCGGCGGCGCCCGCAAGGGUGCCGCCGCCGGUCUCAUCAGAAUCUCUGUUUUCGAACCCGACGAUACUUCUGAGUGUUCUUUAGCGAACUGUCAAAAACUUUUAACAACGGAUCUCUUGGCUCCAGCAUCGGAUGAAAGAACGCAGCGAAACGCCCGAUAUGUAAUGUGAAUUGCAGAAUUCAGUGAAUCAUCGAAUCUUUGAACGCCACAUGGCCGCCUUCCAGUAUCCUGGGAGGCAUGCCUGUCCGAAGCGUCGUUUCAAACCCUCGAGCCCCUGUGGCCCGGCGUUGGGGAUCUGCCACGCAGGCCCCUAAAACCAGUGGCGGACCCCGAAGGGGCCCUCUCCUUUGCGGCAGUAGCAUUCGCCUCGCAUCGGGAGUCCUCGGGGCGUCCUGCCUCUAAACCCCCCACAAGCCCGCUUCCGGCGGCACCAGGUUGACCUCGGAUCAGGUAGGAAUACCCGCUUGAACUUAAA
RNAcentral lists this ribosomal RNA (571 nucleotides) under uncultured fungus. RNAcentral's name for it is "eukaryotic LSU rRNA". The stretch from base 192 to 352 matches the Rfam family "5.8S ribosomal RNA". Lineage: Eukaryota; Fungi. The record is from RNAcentral.